This 367-nucleotide ribosomal RNA is filed under the name uncultured bacterium. RNAcentral's name for it is "bacterial SSU rRNA". It matches the Rfam family "Bacterial small subunit ribosomal RNA", at positions 527 to 896 of the family's 1533-position model. The record is from RNAcentral.
GGAGGAUCCAAGCGUUAUCCGGAUUUAUUGGGUUUAAAGGGUGCGUAGGCGGCCUGUUAAGUCAGAGGUGAAAGACGGUAGCUCAACUAUCGCAGUGCCUUUGAUACUGACGGGCUUGAAUGAACUAGAGGUAGGCGGAAUGAGACAAGUAGCGGUGAAAUGCAUAGAUAUGUCUCAGAACACCGAUUGCGAAGGCAGCUUACUAUGGUUUUAUUGACGCUGAGGCACGAAAGCGUGGGGAUCAAACAGGAUUAGAUACCCUGGUAGUCCACGCCCUAAACGAUGAAUACUCGCUGUUAGCGAUAUACAGUUAGCGGCUAAGCGAAAGCGUUAAGUAUUCCACCUGGGGAGUACGCUCGCAAGAGUG